This 307-nucleotide ribosomal RNA is filed under the name uncultured Polaribacter sp. Its description in RNAcentral is "bacterial SSU rRNA". It matches the Rfam family "Bacterial small subunit ribosomal RNA", at positions 28 to 334 of the family's 1533-position model. The record is from RNAcentral. Lineage: Bacteria; Pseudomonadati; Bacteroidota; Flavobacteriia; Flavobacteriales; Flavobacteriaceae.
GAUGAACGCUAGCGGCAGGCUUAACACAUGCAAGUCGAGGGGUAACAUUGUGCUUGCACAGAUGACGACCGGCGCACGGGUGCGUAACGCGUAUAGAACCUACCUUUUACAGAGGGAUAGCCUUUAGAAAUGAAGAUUAAUACCUCAUAGUAUUGAGUAUUCGCAUGAAUAUUUAAUUAAAGAUUUAUCGGUAAAAGAUGGCUAUGCGUCCUAUUAGUUAGUUGGUAAGGUAACGGCUUACCAAGGCAACGAUAGGUAGGGGGUCUGAGAGGAUUAUCCCCCACACUGGUACUGAGACACGGACCAG